Long non-coding RNA from Culex quinquefasciatus (southern house mosquito), 400 nucleotides. RefSeq lists it as uncharacterized. The record is from RefSeq and is a predicted model, not a curated record. The transcript has 2 exons. Lineage: Eukaryota; Metazoa; Arthropoda; Insecta; Diptera; Culicidae.
GUACCUUCAAACUGGCAAGAAUGGUCUUUCUUUGGCUAGCAGUGCCUUAUUUUUACAUUGCUGGGAGAUUUUUCUUCAACAGCCCCGAAUUAACGAGCCGUUUUCACAUCGUCAAUGGACUCAAGGGGACUAUUUUGUUUAUACUUUCACAUAGCUACAAAGCUUAUAAAUUCCGUGGAGGUCCACCCCAGCGGGAUUACCCAAUGACGUGUUCCAUAUGUCGUGUGGAUGGUCAUAUUUCCUCAUUUUGUCCAGGCAUUUAUUUGUGGAAAAGAAUUCGUAAUGUUGCCAUUGUUGUGGCAGUGUUUCUUUUAUAUUUUUAUCUGAAGAGCUAUGCAGAGACAAAACAUAAAGAGUGAUUGAAAUGAAGAAAGAUAUUAAACGAAUUGUUGACAAAUAA